GUCUCAGGCCAUAACACCCUGAAUGCACCCAAUCUCCUCUGAUCUCAGAUGAUAAGCAAGGUCAGGCCUGGUUAGUACUUGGAGAGGAGAAAUGAUACUACUUGAUGCA
This 109-nucleotide ribosomal RNA is filed under the name Chinchilla lanigera (long-tailed chinchilla). Lineage: Eukaryota; Metazoa; Chordata; Mammalia; Rodentia; Chinchillidae. The record is from RNAcentral.